UACAGAGGCCCCAAGCAUUAUCCGGAAUCACUGGGCGUAAAGGGUGUGUAGGCGGUCGUGUUAGUCGAUUGUGAAAGAUCUCGGGCUUAACCCGGGGGACGCAAUCGAAACGGCACGACUUUGAGGAUGUAAGAGGUACAGGGAACUCAUGGUGUAGGGGUGAAAUCCGUUGAUAUCAUGGGGAACACCAAAUGCGAAGGCACUGUACUGGUACACUCCUGACGCUGAGACACGAAAGCGUGGGAAUCGAACGGG
RNAcentral lists this ribosomal RNA (255 nucleotides) under uncultured bacterium. Its description in RNAcentral is "partial 16S ribosomal RNA". It matches the Rfam family "Bacterial small subunit ribosomal RNA", at positions 524 to 776 of the family's 1533-position model. The record is from RNAcentral.